This 254-nucleotide ribosomal RNA is filed under the name uncultured bacterium. RNAcentral's name for it is "partial 16S ribosomal RNA". It matches the Rfam family "Bacterial small subunit ribosomal RNA", at positions 524 to 776 of the family's 1533-position model. The record is from RNAcentral.
UACGUAGGGUCCGAGCGUUGUCCGGAUUUAUUGGGCGUAAAGAGCUCGUAGGCGGUUCCGUAAGUCAGAUGUGAAAACUCAGAGCUCAACCCGGAGACGCCAUCUGAUACUGCGGUGACUGGAGUCUGGUAGGGGAACACGGAAUUCCUGGUGUAGCGGUGAAAUGCGCAGAUAUCAGGAGGAACACCGAUGGCGAAGGCAGUGUUCUGGGCCAGUACUGACGCUGAGGAGCGAAAGCGUGGGGAGCAAACAGG